CCUACAACAGACCGAUUACUUUAACAAAAAGGUUGCUCCAAAGGAGCUUGCUGAUGAAAUUAAGGCUGGAAAAAUUCCCCGAUGAGCUCCUUCUGCUGUGCUGACUCAUGUAGGACUUUUGGCCUGCAUGAUCUUCUUGCACAGUGAUUCUUUUGGAUAGCUGUAUUCGCUGAAGGGAAGUGAGAUAUAAGCUCGAUGUGUCUUUGAACAGGAUAACAUAAGUUCAUGAUAUG
Lolium rigidum is the source of this 233-nucleotide long non-coding RNA. RefSeq lists it as uncharacterized. Lineage: Eukaryota; Viridiplantae; Streptophyta; Magnoliopsida; Poales; Poaceae. The record is from RefSeq and is a predicted model, not a curated record. The transcript has 3 exons.